UGAGUGCUUUCGGAGAUGCAUGCCCU
This 26-nucleotide non-coding RNA is filed under the name Mus musculus (house mouse). The record is from RNAcentral. Lineage: Eukaryota; Metazoa; Chordata; Mammalia; Rodentia; Muridae.